GUCGUAACAAGGUCUCCGUUGGUGAACCAGCGGAGGGAUCAUUAACGAGUUCCAUUCUCCUUAAUACACCCGUGAACGUUUCUUCAACUGUUCGUUGCUUCGGCGGGCGGCCCCGGGGAGGGGCCGCAGCCCGCAAGGGCGCCCGCCGGCGGCAGCGCAGCACAACUCUUGCGAUUUAGGCCCCUCUGAGAAGACACUAAAUGAGUCAAAACUUUCAACAACGGAUCUCUUGGUUCUGGCAUCGAUGAAGAACGCAGCGAAAUGCGAUAAGUAAUGUGAAUUGCAGAACUCAGCGAAUCAUCGAAUCUUUGAACGCACAUUGCGCCCGCCGGCAUUCCGGCGGGCAUGCCUGUUCGAGCGUCAUUUCAACCCUCGAGCCCUGCUCGGUGUUGGGGCCCCGCGGCCGCCGCGGGCCCUGAAAAGAAGUGGCGGGCGCGCCUGGACCCGUAGCGCAGUAAUACACCUCGCUCGCGGCGUCCCGGCGCGUGCCGGCCGUAAAACCCCUUUAUCUCAAGGUUGACCUCGGAUCAGGUAGGAAUACCCGCUGAACUUAAGCAUAUCAA
Molecule: ribosomal RNA, 563 nt
Filed under: fungal endophyte
Lineage: Eukaryota; Fungi
Description: eukaryotic LSU rRNA
Rfam family: 5.8S ribosomal RNA (bases 210-363)
Source: RNAcentral